Molecule: ribosomal RNA, 285 nt
Filed under: uncultured Subdoligranulum sp.
Lineage: Bacteria; Bacillati; Bacillota; Clostridia; Eubacteriales; Oscillospiraceae
Description: partial 16S ribosomal RNA
Rfam family: Bacterial small subunit ribosomal RNA
Source: RNAcentral
AAGUCGAACGGAGCUUAGAGAGCUUGCUUUUUAAGCUUAGUGGCGAACGGGUGAGUAACGCGUGAGUAACCUGCCCUAGAGUGGGGGACAACAGUUGGAAACGACUGCUAAUACCGCAUAAGCCCACGGUACCGCAUGAUACUGAGGGAAAAGGAUUUAUUCGCUUUAGGAUGGACUCGCGUCCAAUUAGCUAGUUGGUGAGGUAACGGCCUACCAAGGCGACGAUCAGUAGCCGGCCUGAGAGGGUGAACGGCCACAUUGGGACUGAGACACGGCCCAAACUCC